Molecule: unclassified non-coding RNA, 257 nt
Filed under: Hevea brasiliensis (rubber tree)
Lineage: Eukaryota; Viridiplantae; Streptophyta; Magnoliopsida; Malpighiales; Euphorbiaceae
Source: RNAcentral
AAAAAAAAAUAAAACAAAGAUUUGAUAAAUUAAAUACAAAUAAAACUAAGUCAUUUAACGAGAAUUAAUAGAUUUAAAAAAUAAAUAAAUUUUACAGUGUCUAAGAAGAUAGAAUUCUAUUACCUAUUAGAAUUAUAUUAGAAAUAUAAAAAUCAAUAAAACUAAAUAAAAUUUAAAGUGCGCGCACACACAUAUAUAUACCAAUGUAAAUGUUUAGAUUUCUUUUGUAAAUAUUGCCCUCUUUCUCCAUUCAGGAA